Long non-coding RNA from Ictalurus punctatus (channel catfish), 441 nucleotides. The record is from Ensembl. Lineage: Eukaryota; Metazoa; Chordata; Actinopteri; Siluriformes; Ictaluridae.
ACGACACAGUUGCUGUGUUUUCUCCUUAUCGAUGUACUCUGCCGAUUCCAGGAAGUCAGUCGAUCCAAUAGGAUGCGUCUCAUUUAAUCACGUAUUUUUAGAGGUCGCUGAUUGGCGGCCCAAUUAGUCGCGUCGCAGCCUCUGUUUACCGGAAGUGAUUGAGAUUAGGGGGUGAGAGGAUGGGUGUAGAUUGAGAUUAGGAACAUGAAAUGGAGCUCAGAAGGGAAGGAACUGAAGCUUGGACAGAAAGACAACAAACAACAGCUUCUGUUUGUGACAAAUGGGGUGAAGUGAGGGAAGAGAGAAGGUCAGUAUGAGAGUGAGUGAUGAGGAAAAAUGAAUGCAGGUUUUGAUUAAAUUGGCAGUGUGUUAAUCAGUUUCUCUUCAACAGCGUAUGCGAUAUUUUACACAGACAGAGAGGAGAGAUGGAGACAAAGAGAG